This 80-nucleotide small nucleolar RNA is filed under the name Monopterus albus (swamp eel). Its description in RNAcentral is "Small nucleolar RNA SNORD79 (ENSMALG00000016185.1)". It matches the Rfam family "Small nucleolar RNA SNORD79". Rfam says of the family: snoRNA U79 or Z22 is found in intron 7 of the gas5 gene in humans and is also present in mice. U79 is a member of the C/D class of snoRNA which contain C (UGAUGA) and D (CUGA) box motifs. Lineage: Eukaryota; Metazoa; Chordata; Actinopteri; Synbranchiformes; Synbranchidae. The record is from RNAcentral.
AGCUGUUAAUGAUGAUUUUGUUUAAGACAAUGGGAAUCUCUCUGAAAAAGAGUGAAGAGAACUGUUGAUCUGAUGCGGUG